CACCCACGUCCGGCUCCACGAACCGCCUUCUCUGAGGGGCCGCUGGGGCGGGCGAGUUGCGCGUGCGCGAGGCUGUGCCGGGGGCGGGCCGGAAAGAGCGCAGCUGCUGGAAUUUCGGGGACCGCGACGCCGGGGAGGAGCCUUGGGCCACGCGACUGGAUUGGGGCGUGGAGAACGGCUUUCCAGGCUCUUCCCAUCCGGGGAGCCUAACGGGCGUGGGGAGCAGCGCGAGGAGGCUGCGGCGGGUUGCUCGUAAUGGAAGGGAAAUUGGGGGAAAACCCCCACCAGGCUCCAACAGAAGACGGGACAGAGGACCUGAACAACAGAAAAAACAAAGUGCGCACGAGAAAAACGUUCCCCUCAGUAGUGGACAAAGUUGCAAAUUGAGCACUGACGGCGGCGUUCUGUCUCCAUAACAACGCAGUGAUGAGUCAGAAUGUGGAUGAUGGAUUUAGUGGUGACUCAAAUAGACUCCUUGUUCAGUGACUACAGCUAGAGUCUCUGCAUGGCUGCAGUGCCCAAGCACAGGUGUACCAUAAGCCUUCUAGUGUUACCAAGUCUGUGGGCAUCAUCUUGCACCCUCAUAUUCAUACCCAAGGUGUGUUGGACCCUGGAAUCCAGUUGAUCCCACAUGACGUCAUCCCUGCCGUCUUUAGUCACCUUUCUGAAAGUUAGCCCUGGGGUCAUCUGGUUCCUCUCCCCUAACCCAACCUCAUGCUCCUUUUCUUUCCUGACUUUCUCCUGCAGCCUCUGGAACCUAUGCCACAUUUCUCACUAAGUUUACACUAAUACAUUUUAUACAUUUUCUUGCUAUUAUAAGUAGGACCUUUUAAUUGCUCUGUUUGCUUACUGGUUUCUUUUAGUAUAAAAAGAAGUGCCUUGAUUUUUAUUAGUUUCUUUCAUGU
This is a long non-coding RNA of Cynocephalus volans (Philippine flying lemur), 905 nucleotides long. RefSeq lists it as uncharacterized. The record is from RefSeq and is a predicted model, not a curated record. The transcript is spliced from 3 exons. Lineage: Eukaryota; Metazoa; Chordata; Mammalia; Dermoptera; Cynocephalidae.